Molecule: ribosomal RNA, 647 nt
Filed under: uncultured Acidobacteriota bacterium
Lineage: Bacteria; Pseudomonadati; Acidobacteriota
Description: bacterial SSU rRNA
Rfam family: Bacterial small subunit ribosomal RNA
Source: RNAcentral
AGAGUUUGAUCCUGGCUCAGAGCGAACGCUGGCGGCGUGCUUAACACAUGCAAGUCGAGUGCGCGUUUCCGUAGCAAUACGGAGAUGGCGCACGGCGCACGGGUGCGUAACACGUGGGUAAUCUGCCCUCUGAUGGGGAAUAACCCGCCGAAAGGCGGGCUAAUACCGCAUAACAUUCCUUGGACUCCGGUCCGAGGAUUCAAAGGCGUAAGUCGUCGGAGGUGGAGCCCGCGCACGAUUAGCUAGUUGGUAGGGUAAUGGCCUACCAAGGCUAUGAUCGUUAGCUGGUCUGAGAGGAUGGCCAGCCACACUGGAACUGAGACACGGUCCAGACUCCUACGGGAGGCAGCAGUGGGGAAUCUUGCACAAUGGGCGAAAGCCUGAUGCAGCGACGCCGCGUGGGGGAUGAAGCUUCUCGGAGUGUAAACCCCUUUCGACCGGGACGAAUACCUCGCAAGAGGGGUGACGGUACCGGUAUAAGAAGCCCCGGCUAACUACGUGCCAGCAGCCGCGGUAAGACGUAGGGGGCCAGCGUUGCUCGGAAUUACUGGGUGUNAAAGGGUUCGUAGGCGGUGUGGCAAGUCCGGGAGUGAAAUCUCUGGGCUUAACCCANGGGCUGCUUCUGAAACUGCCGUGCUAAANUGUGG